UCGCCAAGUAGCUCUGAGUUAGGUAGCUAGCUAUAGCAUUAUACGAUUCCGCAGGUUAAACACACAUAUAUUUCCAUGCCUUUGCUCUAAGCCGCGUCAAUUCCAUUCCAUCAACACAAGAAGUGUCACUGAAGGAGUAAAGGCUGCAGGUACUCUAGCAAAACUGAAUCUCUAGCAGUAAGUCCUAACAACAAUUUCGUGGCAGCUGCUUGCAUGUCCCUCCUAUUUGGUAUUCCAUCCAUUUUAAAAUAUACUCCCUCCAUUCCAUUGCAAAUUGUAGGUCGUUUUAGGUUUUUAGUUCAUAAAUAUUAUUAUACAUCUAGAAAAGUCAAAACAACCUACAAUUUGGAAACGGAGGGAGCAGGACAUUGUAGUUUUGUUCUAAGUCAUACUUGUCCAACUUUAAUUGAUAGAUGUUGUAUGUUUAGCAACCUAAAUUAUGAUUUCAGAGAUUUGUUGCAAUCAUAUUGGGUUAUGUUUUUUUUGGCUAAGGAAGCAUUGGUGAACACCAGGCCCGAGCCCAUGGGAGUUAUUUAAUUGCACUAGUAUCGACUGAUAUCACCUGGUCUCGUUCUUGGUUCAUGUUUAAAGUUACAGCUAAAAAAAUACACGACCAACAUCAUCAUCUAAGGACAUGUAAAACACUUAUUUGGUCAUGUUUAAUAUAGUUUGUCUAGCUGUCUGUAAACUAUUUAAGGGCCCAUAUUGUAAAACAGUAAGGACGUCUCUCUCAUCUCUCGCCUAUCCUAUUCCUCUCUCUCUCCCCCGGAUCUGCAGGGUGAGGCGGCUCGACGCGGGCGACGCGGCAGCCAUCCCGUCAUGGACAUGGACUUGCCGACAACCACAUGGCUGGCCUUUGCUCUCUUCUUCAUCGUCGCACUAGCGACCAAGAUCACAAGACGACGACAGCAAUCUUCGGGUACUCCGACAAGGAAACGCCGCCCCCCUCCACCCGUGUCUCCGGGGGUCCCUCUCCUAGGCGACCUGCCAGCACUGCUCGCCAAGGGCACGUUGGAACUGAUCCGCGACCGCUACACGAGGCUGGGAAGCGUCUUCACCGUGCGCUUGCUCCACCUGAAGGUGACCUUCCUGGUCGGGCCGGACGUGUCGAGCCAUUUCUACCAGGGGUUCGACUCGGAGAUCAGCCAGGACGAGGUCUCCCAGUUCACCAUCCCCACCUUCGGCCCCGGCGUCGCCUUCGACGUCGACUACGCCACCCGGCGCGAGCAGUUCAGGUUCUUCGGCGACGCCAUGAAGCCGGCGAAGCUCAGGACCUAUGCCGAGCUCAUGGUCCGUGAAGUCGAGGUACGUAAUAAUCAUGCAUCGACCUAGCUAGCACUACAUUCACGUGUUGCUUUCGUAGAACACAUAGGUUUUUUACGUGUCAUCACGUGACUAAACAUGGUCUGCAGAGCCACUUCGCGAGAUGGGGACAGUCCGGCACGGUUGAUCUGAAGCAGGAGCUGGAGCACGUUGUGACGCUCAUCACCAGCCGGUGCCUGCUGGGCGCCGCGGUCCGGGAGAAGAUGUUCGGCGAGGUCGGGACGCUGCUCCGCGAGCUCAACGACGGGAUGCGCCUCGUCACCAUCUUCUUCCCGCACCUACCCAUCCCCGCGCACCGCCGCCGCGACGCGGCGCGCGCCAGGCUCGGCGAGAUAUUCACCGACAUCGUCAGGUCCCGCAAGCGCCUGAACGAGGACGACGGCGGCCGCCCCGACCGCCCCGACGACAUGCUGCAGUGCCUGAUCGACGCCCGGUACAAGGACGGCCGCGGCACGACGGAGGCGGAGGUCGUCGGGAUGCUCGUCUCGGCUCUCUUCGCGGGGCAGCACAACAGCUCCAGCGCCGCCACCUGGACCGGGGCGCGCCUCCUCACCCACACCAAGCACCUGCGCGCCGCCGUCGAGGAGCAGGCGCGCGUCGCGGCGCUGCACGGGGCCGGCCGCGCCGACCACUACGCCGCCCUGCAGGAGAUGGACACCCUCCACCGCUGCGUCAAGGAGGCCCUGCGGCUCCACCCGCCGGCGCUGAUGCUGCUCCGCCACGCGCGCCGGGGGUUCGCGGUGCGCGACAGGGACGGGCGCGAGUACGAGGUGCCCGAGGGACACGCGGUGGCGAGCCCGCUGGUGAUCCACAACAGGCUGCCGGAGGUGUACGAGGAGCCCGACAAGUACGACCCCGACCGGUUCGGGCCACGGAGGGCGGAGGACAGGGCCGGCGGCGCGCUGGCGUACGCGUCGUUCGGCGCCGGGCGGCACAUCUGCGUCGGCGAGGCGUUCGCGU
Molecule: long non-coding RNA, 2283 nt
Filed under: Setaria viridis
Lineage: Eukaryota; Viridiplantae; Streptophyta; Magnoliopsida; Poales; Poaceae
Description: long non-coding RNA (SVIR_LNC002429)
Source: RNAcentral